UCCCCCUGGAGGCAACGAUGGGGAGAUUGAAAAGGGGGGGCGACCCUGAUCCACCGAUGCCGCGUGUGUACUCCAGGCCCUGGCGUUGUUGAGCACUUUCGCCGAGGAGAAACGCCUCUGAGUUAAUACCCCCUCGGAAAGGAUGACUCUUUCAGAUCCACCGGCUAACUCCGUGCCAACAACCCCGGUAAUACUGAUGGUGCCAGCGUUUGUCGGAAUUACUGGACGAAACGCCCGCGUAUGUGGCGUGAUCAGCCGGUUGUGAACUCCCCGGGCUCACCCUGGUAACAGUCUCCGGAACUGUCGCGCUCGAGUGUGGGAUAGGAAGGUAGAAUUCCCGGUGUACCGGUGAACCGCGUAAUUAUCCUUAAGAAUACCUCUGGCGAAUGCAGCCUUCUGGACUGAAAUUGACACUGAAGUGCUAAAAUCCGUGUAGCUCACAAGAUUCAACCCCUGGUAGUCCAACUUCCUGGACAUGUACUGACACUGUUGGGUGCCUAGUGCACUUUGUGGCGAAUUAAAUACGAUAGGUCGACCGCCUGUGAGUAUGGCCGCUAGGUGUUGCUCGCAUGAAUUGACAG
This 581-nucleotide ribosomal RNA is filed under the name uncultured bacterium. RNAcentral describes it as "bacterial SSU rRNA". It matches the Rfam family "Bacterial small subunit ribosomal RNA", at positions 337 to 916 of the family's 1533-position model. The record is from RNAcentral.